UAUCACGGUAAAACACCGGUUCUCUUACGAUCACCGAAGUUAAGCAACGUCGAGCCUGGUCAGUACCAAGAUGGGUGACCGCCUGGGAAUACCAGGUGCUGUA
This 103-nucleotide ribosomal RNA is filed under the name Acanthosepion pharaonis. The record is from RNAcentral. Lineage: Eukaryota; Metazoa; Mollusca; Cephalopoda; Sepiida; Sepiidae.